ACGAACGCUGGCGGCGUGCUUAACACAUGCAAGUCACGGGGGGUAGCAAUACCAACCGGCGAACGGGUGCGUAACACGUGAGCAACCUGCCUAUCUGCGGGGGAUAGCCGGCCCAACGGCCGGGUAAUACCGCAUACGCUCUCGAGGGGACAUCCCCUUGAGAGGAAAACUCCGGUGCAGAUAGAGGGGCUCGCGGCCUAUCAGCUAGUUGGUGAGGUAACGGCUCACCAAGGCGACGACGGGUAGCUGGUCUGAGAGGAUGGCCAGCCACAUUGGGACUGCGACACGGCCCAGACUCCUACGGGAGGCAGCAGUGGGGAAUAUUGCGCAAUGGACGAAAGUCUGACGCAGCGACGCCGCGUGUGGGAUGAAGCUCUUCGGGGUGUAAACCACUGUUGCCCGGGAAGAACCUCCUGAUUUAUCAGGAUUGACGGUACCGGGUGAGGAAGCACCGGCUAACUCUGU
RNAcentral lists this ribosomal RNA (465 nucleotides) under uncultured bacterium. Its description in RNAcentral is "bacterial SSU rRNA". It matches the Rfam family "Bacterial small subunit ribosomal RNA", at positions 29 to 506 of the family's 1533-position model. The record is from RNAcentral.